GGGGAACCGUAUAAGAGGAAAAUUGCAGUUGUCUUCAUAAAUUUUACUGUGGAGACAUGGUGAACAAAAACAUAAUCAUGUCACCAGAUUUUUCUGGCAGAGCCGGCCUGAGAAUGCUUGUGUUCUUCAGAAAUGAAGACUUCUUGAUGCAAUUGAUGCCCAUGCUUGUCGGCACCUAACAGCUUCUUGACGAACAGCCCUCUUUGGAUCAUCAAGUGCUUUAGACAUUGCUUGUAAUACCUGGAUUCUCAACGGGUAAAUCCUUGUGUGAGGGAGUUCUGACAUGGCAACAAGACAUUGAAUAGCUGUCUCCCGGACAAGCAUCAUAUGAGGGUACGCAACCAGUUCAAUUAGGCACUUAAUGAUAAUAUGAGCAUUCUCUACGAUAGCUUCUUUUCCAUUUUUAUCUGUCAGUAUUCCUGAUAAGACCAGCAAGAGACCAUACAUGACAUCUUUAUCCAAAACAUACUUGCAUAACAAGGCUAAGCCCUCCAGCAAUAACGGAAUUAACUUCUUUGCAUCAUUCAAGACAACGAUUAG
Molecule: unclassified non-coding RNA, 540 nt
Filed under: Hevea brasiliensis (rubber tree)
Lineage: Eukaryota; Viridiplantae; Streptophyta; Magnoliopsida; Malpighiales; Euphorbiaceae
Source: RNAcentral